Molecule: transfer RNA, 74 nt
Filed under: Govanella unica
Lineage: Bacteria; Pseudomonadati; Pseudomonadota; Alphaproteobacteria; Emcibacterales; Govanellaceae
Also listed under: 1 other name
Description: tRNA-Gly
Rfam family: tRNA
About the family: Transfer RNA (tRNA) molecules are approximately 80 nucleotides in length.
Source: RNAcentral
GCGGGUGUAGCUCAAUGGUAGAGCUCCUGCCUUCCAAGCAGGUGACGAGGGUUCGAUUCCCUUCACCCGCUCCA